GACUGCGAUCAUACCAGCACUAACGCACCGGAUCCCAUCAGAACUCCGAAGCUAAGCGUGCUUGGGUGAGAGUAAUACUAGGAUGGGUGACCCCUUGGGACGUCCUCGUGUUGCAUCCC
RNAcentral lists this ribosomal RNA (119 nucleotides) under Nicotiana sylvestris (wood tobacco). The record is from RNAcentral. RNAcentral also lists the same sequence under 1 other name. Lineage: Eukaryota; Viridiplantae; Streptophyta; Magnoliopsida; Solanales; Solanaceae.